GAACCGUCCAAACGUUAUUCGGUAUCACUGGGCUUAAAGCGUGCGUAGGCGGCUUGGUAGGUGAGAUGUGAAAGCCCACGGGCCCAACCGUGGAAUUGCGUUUCAAACCCCCAAGCUUGAGGAAGAUAGGGGUGAUGGGAACUUAUGGUGGAGCGGUGAAAUGCGUUGAUAUCAUAGGGAACACCGGUGGCGAAAGCGCAUCACUGGAUCUUUUCUGACGCUGAGGCACGAAAGCUAGGGUAGCGAACGGGAUUAGAUACCCCAGUAGUCCUAGCCGUAAACGAUGAGCACUGGGUUGAGGGGACUUCCACAUCCUCUCGGCCGUAGCGAAAGCGUUAAGUGCUCCGCCUGGGGAGUAUGGUCGCAAGGCUG
This 372-nucleotide ribosomal RNA is filed under the name uncultured organism. RNAcentral's name for it is "partial 16S ribosomal RNA". It matches the Rfam family "Bacterial small subunit ribosomal RNA", at positions 527 to 896 of the family's 1533-position model. The record is from RNAcentral.